AUGUCCUCAUGGAGGGUCCUCUCCGCCCGCCACACUGCACUCAGCCCAUCCCCUCAGGGCACACAUGGCCUGGCGACCUGGGCUCAGGACCAACCAUGUCUAGCUAACUGCAGUGUGCCCAUAUGCCAGGGACGGGCAGACACAGGUGCAGGUCCUGACAGGUCUAUAAAACUAAUCAGGCCUUCCAGGGGCUGGGGUCUUCUCAGACCUCAAAGCUACCAGCGACACCCAGCAGCCCUGCUGUUGGGCUGCACCUGCUCUGCUGGGGAGCUCGGCUAUACCCGGCGCAGGGAACCACGUGCUUCCUGCCCUGCUGCCGUCUGCGUCCCUGUGGUUGUCUCACUUGGGCUCUGCCGUGUCUGCAGGGUGCUAGAACAUUCUCCAGAGAGCAAGGCUGUGGCUGUGCACACAUCUCUGAGGGCCAGAGGCCCCAGAAGGGACAGGGCUGUGGGCUCAGACACCUGUCAGAGGGGCUUCCUUGACCCUCCAAGCAUGUGCCCAGAGGGACCGGUUUUCUCCUGGUCCACCUGGUCUCCUGUUCUUCCCAUUGCUCCUGCCUCAGCCCUCAGGUGGACACGCAAUGCCAGGGUCACGACAGUCCGGAUCAUCUGCCAUAGGUCAUCUGCAGGUCCUCCAAGCAUAGCUCACCUCCUUACCCAAGGCCAUAGGACAUGGGGUUGCAGCCAGCACCCGCCAGGAAGAGCCCUCCACACCCACCCUCCAUCUCAGCCUUACAGCGGCCUGGGUCAGCCCUGGGUUCAUGGCCGACUCACUCCCGGUCCCAGGUGGGAGGCUUCCUGCCGCCUGCCAGCACUCCCCACGGAGCUGGGAGGUAGGUUCCCACGGGCGUGCCCCGGGGCCUGCCUCUGCCCAGCUAACUUCCCAGACCAGGGACCCUCCUGGAGGGCUCACAAACCGCGGGCGGGGUGCUCCAGUUCCCGCUCUAGCCCCCUAACCAGAGCCGGAAACAAGAACCAGUCGGAAGACACGGGUUGGCACAGCCCCCUUUGUGGGUCGGUGGUGGCUCUGAAAAGAGCCUUUGGGGGGAGUUCUGCAGGGCGGCAUGGGGAUGCGCGCGGGGCCUAG
RNAcentral lists this long non-coding RNA (1086 nucleotides) under Canis lupus familiaris (dog). Its description in RNAcentral is "lncRNA (ENSCAFG00805005261.1, ENSCAFG00845007287.1)". Lineage: Eukaryota; Metazoa; Chordata; Mammalia; Carnivora; Canidae. The record is from RNAcentral.